This 511-nucleotide long non-coding RNA is filed under the name Salmo salar (Atlantic salmon). RNAcentral's name for it is "lncRNA (ENSSSAG00000098307.1)". Lineage: Eukaryota; Metazoa; Chordata; Actinopteri; Salmoniformes; Salmonidae. The record is from RNAcentral.
UGAUGGCAGCAGGGAAGAAGGCCUGGCUAGAUAACAGGUCAAGCCUGAUGGCAGCAGGGAAGAAGAAGGCCUGGCUAGAUAACAGGUCAAGCCUGAUGGCAGCAGGGAAGAAGAAGGCCUGGCUAGAUAACAGGUCAAGCCUGAAGGCAGCAGGGAAGAAGAAGGCCUGGCUAGAUAACAGGUCAAGCCUGAUGGCAGCAGGGAAGAAGGCCUGGCUAGAUAACAGGUCAAGCCCGAAGGCAGCAGGGAAGAAGACCUGGCUAGAUAACAGGUCAAGCCUGAAGGCAGCAGGGAAGAAGAAGGCCUGGCUAGAUAACAGGUCAAGCCAGAUGGCAGCAGGGAAGAAGGCCUGGCUAGAUAACAGGUCAAGCCUGAUGGCAGCAGGGAAGAAGAAGGCCUGGCUAGAUAACAGGUCAAGCCUGAUGGCAGCAGGGAAGAAGAAGGCCUGGCUAGAUAACAGGUCAAGCCUGAUGGCAGCAGGGAAGAAGAAGGCCUGGCUAGAUAACAGGUC